UACGGAGGGGCGAGCGUUAUUCGGAAUUAUUGGGCGUAAAGGGCGCGUAGGCGGCUGUACAAGUCAAAGGUGAAAUCCCUCGGCUCAACUGAGGAACUGCCUUUGAAACUGUACGGCUUGAGGCCGGGAGGGGUAGCGGAAUUCCCAAUGUAGCGGUGAAAUGCGUAGAUAUUGGGAGGAACACCAGUGGCGAAGGCGGCUACCUGGACCGGUUCUGACGCUGAGGCGCGAAAGCGUGGGUAGCAACAGG
This 250-nucleotide ribosomal RNA is filed under the name uncultured bacterium. Its description in RNAcentral is "partial 16S ribosomal RNA". It matches the Rfam family "Bacterial small subunit ribosomal RNA", at positions 524 to 775 of the family's 1533-position model. The record is from RNAcentral.